RNAcentral lists this RNase P RNA (517 nucleotides) under Pseudanabaena galeata CCNP1313. RNAcentral describes it as "RNase P RNA component class A". It matches the Rfam family "Bacterial RNase P class A". From Rfam's summary of the family: Ribonuclease P (RNase P) is a ubiquitous endoribonuclease, found in archaea, bacteria and eukarya as well as chloroplasts and mitochondria. Its best characterised activity is the generation of mature 5'-ends of tRNAs by cleaving the 5'-leader elements of precursor-tRNAs. Lineage: Bacteria; Bacillati; Cyanobacteriota; Cyanophyceae; Pseudanabaenales; Pseudanabaenaceae. RNAcentral also lists the same sequence under 1 other name. The record is from RNAcentral.
GAGAGUAAGCGUGCGGUUGCGAAAUUUGUCUCAAAAUUAACGAAAGGCGAUCACGAGAACAAGUUUUGAGGAAAGUCCGGGCUUCCAUGAAGAUCAGGCUGCUGGAUAACGCCCAGUGCGAGCGAUCGUGAGGAUAGUGCCACAGAAAAAUACCGCCAGAACUCAAGUAAAAAGUAAAAAGGUAAAAGGAAAAAUGUUUUUUACUUUUUACUUUUUACUUUUAUCUUUUUACUUGAUCUGGUAAGGGUGCAAAGGUGCGUUAAGAGCGCACCAGCAGGGUCGUGAGGCUCUGGCUCGGUAAACCCCAGUUGGAAGCAAGGCGAGAGGAUACAAGUGUUGCGAUCUUCAAUUGAUCUUGUGUCCGUUGCUUAAUGGGGUUGCAUGGCGAAAGCUAGGCGAUCGCUGUUAAGUGUGUGCCGCAUGAGGUAUUUGGUAACAAAUAUCCCAGAUAGAUAACCGCUAGGAUAGUUGUAAAAAACUCCUGAAACAGAACCCGGCUUAUGUCUUACUCUUCCUC